UCGGGAAUUUUGGGCAAUGGGGGAAACCCUGACCCAGCAACGCCGCGUGAAGGAUGAAGUAUUUCGGUAUGUAAACUUCGAAAGAAUAGGAAGAAUAAAUGACGGUACUAUUUAUAAGGUCCGGCUAACUACGUGCCAGCAGCCGCGGUAAUACGUAGGGACCAAGCGUUGUUCGGAUUUACUGGGCGUAAAGGGCGCGUAGGCGGCAUGACAAGUCACUUGUGAAAUCUCUGGGCUUAACCCAGAACGGCCAAGUGAUACUGUCGCGCUAGAGUGCAGAAGGGGCAAUCGGAAUUCUUGGUGUAGCGGUGAAAUGCGUAGAUAUCAAGAGGAACACCUGAGGUGAAGACGGGUUGCUGGGCUGACACUGACGCUGAGGCGCGAAAGCCAUGGGGAGCAAACGGGAUUAGAUACCCUAGUAGUCCCUGAGCGGGCUGGCAAGGCGCAU
Molecule: ribosomal RNA, 448 nt
Filed under: uncultured bacterium
Lineage: Bacteria
Description: bacterial SSU rRNA
Rfam family: Bacterial small subunit ribosomal RNA
Source: RNAcentral